RNAcentral lists this ribosomal RNA (439 nucleotides) under uncultured bacterium. RNAcentral's name for it is "partial 16S ribosomal RNA". It matches the Rfam family "Bacterial small subunit ribosomal RNA", at positions 339 to 795 of the family's 1533-position model. The record is from RNAcentral.
CUACGGGGUGCAGCAGUGAGGAAUAUUGCACAAUGGGGGGAACCCUGAUGCAGCAACGCCGCGUAGAGGAUGACGCAUUUCGGUGUGUAAACUCCUUUUAUAUGUCAAGAAAAUGACGGUAGCAUAUGAAUAAGCACCGGCUAACUCCGUGCCAGCAGCCGCGGUAAUACGGAGGGUGAAAGCGUUACUCGGAAUCACUGGGCGUAAAGGACGCGUAGGCGGGUUGGAAAGUCAGUUGUGAAAUCCUACAGCUUAACUGUAGAACUGCACUUGAAACUUCUAAUCUAGAGUAUGGGAGGGGGAGAUGGAAUUAGUGGUGUAGGGGUAAAAUCCGUAGAUAUCACUAGGAAUACCUAAAGCGAAGGCGAUCUCCUGGAACAUUACUGACGCUAAGGCGUGAAAGCGUGGGGAGCAAACAGGAUUAGAUACCCGAGUAGUC